AUGCUAAGACCAUCGUCGUCCUCCUGCUCGCUCGCUCUUCGUGUUCGUCCUGCUCGCCCUACUCGUCAUGCUCGUCUAGAUCGUCCUGAUCGCUCGACUUACUACAUCGGCCACGCUCGCUCGCUCGCUCGAGCAGCCUAAGAAAUCGCCAGUCUCUCUCUCACUCGUCAUUUACAAAUUCCAUUUGUUGUUUUGAUUAUGUGAAAUCUGGAUUGCUUUGAUUUUGUGAAAUCUGGGUUGGUCUUAUGCUUUGAAAUUGCUUGUUCUUCAAUGAUUUAUGCUUCUGGGUAUUUUAUGAUGUAGUUGUACGGAUUUGAUUUCUGCUUCUGUGAAAUUGCAAAUUCCAUUUGCUGCCACUGUAAGUUAAUUCAUCUGUGUCUCUUGAUUCAAUCUUUGACUCCUGAUACAUUGUUUAGGUGGCUUUUAACCUCCUGCAUAGAGCUACUUGAUAUUGUAUCUAUCAAUCUAUGCGAGGUCCAAGGUUUAUCUUUUUAUUUACUAAUUUAUCUUUGGGGGGAAUUUUGUCAUAAUGAGUUAGAUAGAGGCGUUCUAAGGGCUUAUUUAGCAUUAUAAUCAAUUAAUAAAUGGAUCAUAUGGAUCAUUAUUGUUCCAUAAAGUAGUUAAUUGGUUAUCAAUAUCAUCCGUAAGGAGUGAUAUCUGGAUUAAGCUUGCAGCUCUGUUCCUUUGUUUGGAAAUUUUGUAUGGGUUGGAUGUAAGCAUGAAUCCUGGAUUGUAAGAUUAUGGUGCCCUUUAACUGAAGCUUGUCAUGUAUUUGAUUGAAAUAAUAUGAAAUAAGCACAACUGGUUGCUGAUGGUGAUCCGAUGUAGUUUUUGGGACCUAAUGAGACACUGCUCUAGAUACCUGAAACAUCAGUACUGAAAAUGAAACAUGAUUGAGAAAGUCUUAGAAAAACAUCCUACCUUUAUAUAUAGGUACGUCAGAUAGGCACACUCUUUCUUUGGCUUUAUUCUUACAGCCAAUUCUCUGUUUAGAAUUGAUGAUAUCGGAGCAUUGAUCUCCUUAACCUCCUUUCCUUCAAUAAUUGGCUAUAUUUUCUUAUGAUAUCAUAAUAGGUUUUGCAAAAGGGGUAUGGAUGAUGGGCGUGAUUGAUGAGAUUCGAAUGCCUGUUACAGAAACAAACCGAAACCCAAUAUUAGUUGACACAAGGACUCGUGUGAAAGAUACACUUACUGUUGAACCACAACGAAGAAAUGGAAGGCUUCAAUUAAUGUGCUACAAGUACAUUUGGGAUGAUUUAGUUGCUGAUAAAUUCCCAUCAAAGAAAUUUUUCACUUUUUUUCCUUAAAUCCUCAUGGUAUCUUAUAUGAAGAAAUCACAGAGAUGGCUGCUAACUCAAGGUUCCCAGCAGAGACCCUUGAUGACAUAGUGAGAUACUACAGAAACACAUGUAGCAUGCUGCCCUCUACACAUGACCAGCUGCUAUUGAGAUAUGAGUUACAGAAAGAUCAUUCGUUACUUGGUGAAGAUGAGUUUGCAUACGACUCUGAUUGGGUCAAGAAUCAAAUACAGGGUUGUCUUGAGUUCUGGUUAAGAGAGCGAGAAACAAGUUACACUCCUAAGGAUGAGGGAUGGAAAUGCAGGUUCUGUCAAUAUUCUUCUGUUUUCCCCGCUAGACGUGCAAAGUCUGCAAACUAUACUAAUACACCAAGUUAGAGAAAAGCAGUAGCAUUGGUGAUGUUUCAAUCAACAUCGUCAGUAAGUGUACAAAGAAGCACAAUUCUUGG
Molecule: small RNA, 1746 nt
Filed under: Malus domestica (apple)
Lineage: Eukaryota; Viridiplantae; Streptophyta; Magnoliopsida; Rosales; Rosaceae
Description: sRNA MD02G0233400
Source: RNAcentral